GGGAGGGUGCGGAGGACGGCCAAACGGCAGGCUGCGCCCCGCCCCCUCUUAAAGGGGAAAGCACUGUCAAGCCCGCCUCUUUGCUUAAUGUCUGAAUGGGACUUGAGAGGGUAGGUUGUCGGCUCCUUCCUUCCGUCUUUCCCACAGGGACGGGGAAUCUCGGUCCAACUCCCUCGGCCCGGUGUUACCCACACUUUCCCCAUCAGGUGGAUCUGGAGCGGCAACUCGCGGGGCUUUAAAAGAGCAGCAGGAGGCCGGCCGCUUUUCGCUACAACCUGGAGUAAGGCCAGCGGGAACUACGCGACCCAGCGUGCAGCGGGCGCGGCUCCCGGCAUGCUCGGCGGCCGUGUUCCCGCCGAUCCGCCGCCGCUCGCCCGGCCGUCGCCUCAGCGCUAGCCGCGGGCCCCGGCCCUCCUCCUGCGGCGGCUUUCUGGCUCACCGAGCGCCGGGAGGGGUGGGGGUGGGGGUGCUGGUCGCCGAGAUACCUUGGCAUGAUAUCCUUUGGUCACAGAAAUGUCAUCUUCGGGGAGAAGACUUUGAAGAAAUCCCUGAAAGUGACAGUAGAAAUGUUUUCUUCUGGUAUGUGGCAAAAGUACUAGAAUUAGAGGGAUAAAAAAAAAUCAGAUAUAAAAGAGAGGAACAUUGAUAUGGAAAAUAUUCGAGGCUGAAUACCUUUCUAUUACAGGAAAGUAGAAGAAUCAGAGAAAGGAAGGAUUAUUUAAGCCAUUAAUGAUAGUGGCACAACAUUAGAAUUAAAACUUAGGGACCAUGAUAUAUAAAUUAUAUCUAUGGAAACACGUGCUACUUUUACGCAUAAUGAAAAGACAGUUGUAAUACAGGUUGGGCUAAUAGUAUCUCUAACUUAAUCUUUGAAAAUUGGCAUGUUGAUUUAAAAAUAAUUUCAAAAUAGCUUAGUGACUUCCUUAUGUGAUAUUGUCUUAGAAUAUCCCUGACUUUUUGUAUUCAGGUAAAAUAUCUCUGGAAGAAUAGUCCAGCAAUAUUUACUGAUAGUAGUUACCUCUAAUUUAGGGCCUAGGGAUCUAGAGUUGGCAGGACACUUAGUUUUCACAAAUACCAUUUUGUACAUUUAAUUGAAAUGUUAUUAUUUGAGUAUAAUUGACAAAAUGUUAUGUUGGUUUUCGGUGUACAACACAGUGAUUCAGACAAAUUUAUGCAUUAGGCUAUGCAUUUAAUUUUUUGAUAUGUGUAUUACUUUAAUAAAAUCUGAACUUUAUUUUCAAUAUAAAAGAAAAAAACUUUCUGUACAUUCUGGAAUAACAAAAUGCAUAUGUACACUACCUCCUAGGAAAGGAGCAUAUAAUCUAGAUAUUUAGAUUUAGUUCGCUUUUGGGGGGGAGGGGCAGAGGGAGAGGGGGAGAGACAACCUUAAGCAGGCUCCACACUGGGACUCAAUCUCACAACUCUGAGAUCAUGACCUGAGCCUAAAUCAAGAGUUGGACGCUUAACUGAUUGAGCCACCCAGGUGGCCCCAAGAUUUAGUUCACUUUUAUGAGACUGUUUACUACUGCUGUUAAUAUUGUCUGCACUUGGCAUACAAGCAUUGUAAUUGCAUACAUAUUAUUAUAUAAAUUAAAACCAAAAAACACAAUUGAUAAAUUUGAAGCUUUGAAGUCUUCCCACUUGAGGAACUAAUCUGGGCAGUUUUGCAUCAGAAACACUUUUUUUGUGAAGGUUUUUUAGCAGUUUAAGAGAAGUUCCAUAUAACCUUUUUUUCAUUCAGUAAAGUGCUCAACUUGUUAAGAACUUUUUAUUUAUCUAUUUAUUUAUUUUUUUAAAGAUUUUACUUAUUUAUUUGACAGAGAUAGAGACAGCCAGCGAGAGAGGAAACACAAGCAGUGGAAGUGGGAGAGGAAGAAGCAGGCUCAUAGAGGAGGAGCCUGAUGUGGGGCUCAAUCCCACAACGCUGGGAUCACGCCCUGAGCCGAAGGCAGACGCCCAACCGCUGUGCCACCCAGGUGCCCCAAGAACUUUUUAAAUUUUUUGUGCAAUCUCAUUUGAGUACUUUAUGUUAAGGGGAAUAAAUUUUUUAUAAUUUUUAUGAAUUGACUGUUUGAAAAUUCAUAUUCAGGUCAAUGUUAUGUAUUAAUGCCAUCUAUAACUUCUUUUUUUUUUUAAGAUUUUGUUUAUUUAGGGGCACCUGGUUGGCACAGCGGUUAAGCAUCUGCCUUCGGCUCAGGGCGUGAUCCUGGUGUUGUGGGAUCGAGCCCCACAUCAGGCUCCUCCGCUAUGAUUUAUUUAUUCGACAGAGAUAGAGACAGCCAGCGAGAGAGGGAACACAAGCAGGGGGAGUGGGAGAGGAAGAAGCAGGCUCCCAGCAGAGGAGCCUGAUGUGGGGCUUGAUCCCAGAACGCUGGGAUCAUGCCCCGAGCCGAAGGCAGACGCUUAACCGCUGUGCCAUCCAGGCGCCCCUGCCAUCUAUAACUUCUGCCUACAAUCUCAGACGGGCCCUAUGAACUAUAUCUACCCAAGAAGGAAUCCUUCCCCGAAGACUUUUAUUUAGCUGUGGUCAUUUCUAUAGGAUUGAAAUUUAACAGAAGUAUCUAAUGAAGAGGAAUCUGAACAUAGCCAAUGAGAAAAGGAAAAGAUCGGGAGAAGAGUCCAGAUGUCAUAAAGCAAAGGGAGGGUGACAGGCAGGAAGCAGCUAUUACUUGCUCUGUUGCGUGACUCAAAGAACUCCAAGAAAUUGAUUUCAUCCCACUGAACAUUUCCUUCAAUUUGGGAUAGAAUUAAUUUUUUCUAAUAAAAUAGAUAUUAGUAGAUAUAUAACACACAGGAAAACAAUUGAGCCUAGUGACCUGAGCGGUUACAAUAUGUUAUGUAAGAGAUCUUCAGAAAGUUAUUCUUCAGUGUUCGGCGUGUUGCUUUCUAGAAAAGAAUUGGAGUGACAGCACCGCUAUUAUGAGUAAUGGCCUAUAGGGAGAGGGAAGGGGAAGCAAGAAAGGAGCAAUUAACAGGGAAAUGUGGUCAAAUGGAAAGAAUGAGAUAGAUUCAGGAUACUUCUAGGAGAUAAUAUCACCUGAUUUUAGUGACUGUAUUUAGAGGAUGGGAGAGAAGAGAAGUCACCUAGAAUUUAGGGUUGGGCCAUUAGCAGGUCAUGGCACUGCUACAUGAAAUAGAAACUCCAGGAGGCAAAGCAGGUUUGGGGGGGAAAGAUUUAAAUCAUGCAAGGAUGUAACUAGUUUUUACAUCUUUGCGCUCUGUUGAUCUUAGGCCUCCUCUGUCAAACCGCAUAAACCAUUGCUUCCUGGUAGUAGCCUGCUUGUUUGUAAAGAACAGCCAGCUAUAGACAUUGGAGGCUGGGAGUGUGUUGGGAAGAGUAGAAAGACUAGAGGAAAUGAUUUAGAGAUAGAGUGGUCUUAAACACGUCUUCCCACAUGCCAGGACUAGCUUUGUAUUCUUUCUAUUAGUAAGCCAAGAAUUGAAAUAGAUGAUAGCAAGGGCAUAUACAGACCCUCGUGAGGAAAAAGUCAAUGCAGCAGGUAUUUGCUUAUUCCUUUCAUGUCUCCAAGGGAGCCAUGAUUGGCCCUUGGCCGACCUUGGGAAUUUGGCCCUUGGAGUGUUUUUAUGUUAAUGAUGAUGACUUUGUUACAUACACCUGGAGCAAUUGCUUUGCACAAACGUGCACCUGGUUUCGUUGUUGGGGUCCUGAGUUUCAGUUGCCAUGGCUGAUUGCAUAGCAGAAUGUAUAUAUAUUAACAGACCUCCAUAAAAGUCUUGGACCCUGAAACUCAGAUGGGUUUCCAUGGGCAGAGGCAUUCCACAGGUGCUUAUAGUUUGCUGCUAGAGAGAGAAAGAGAGUUCCUGAAUAGCUUCAAAGGACUUUGGAAGUCUAUGCUGAACCUCUCUGGACUUCACCAGUGGGUCUUUUUCCCAUUGUUUGUGCUCUCUACCAUUUGCUGUAAUAAAUUUUAGUCAUGUGUAUGACAUGCUCUUGAAUCUGGUGAGUCCUUCCGGGAGCACCAAAUAUACAAAAUGCUGAAGAAUUUUAAAACCCAAUUUGUUCAUCCAAGUCUUGGUAGGAUUUAC
This 4047-nucleotide long non-coding RNA is filed under the name Ursus thibetanus thibetanus. Its description in RNAcentral is "lncRNA (ENSUTTG00000003149.1)". The record is from RNAcentral. Lineage: Eukaryota; Metazoa; Chordata; Mammalia; Carnivora; Ursidae.